Molecule: ribosomal RNA, 139 nt
Filed under: Astragalus hypoglottis subsp. hypoglottis
Lineage: Eukaryota; Viridiplantae; Streptophyta; Magnoliopsida; Fabales; Fabaceae
Description: partial 18S ribosomal RNA
Rfam family: Eukaryotic small subunit ribosomal RNA
Source: RNAcentral
CCGGUGAAGUGUUCGGAUUGCGGCGACGUGGGCGGUUCGCUGCCCGCGAACGUUGUGAGAAGUCCACUGAACCUUAUCAUUUAGAGGAAGGAGAAGUCGUAACAAGGUUUCCGUAGGUGAACCUGCGGAAGGAUCAUUG